This 395-nucleotide ribosomal RNA is filed under the name uncultured bacterium. Its description in RNAcentral is "partial 16S ribosomal RNA". It matches the Rfam family "Bacterial small subunit ribosomal RNA", at positions 523 to 916 of the family's 1533-position model. The record is from RNAcentral.
CUACGUAGGGGGCGAGCGUUGUCCGGAAUGAUUGGGCGUAAAGGGCGCGUAGGCGGCCCGGUAAGUCUGGAGUGAAAGUCCUGUUUUUAAGAUGGGAAUUGCUUUGGAUACUGUCGGGCUUGAGUGCAGGAGAGGUAAGUGGAAUUCCCAGUGUAGCGGUGAAAUGCGUAGAGAUUGGGAGGAACACCGGUGGCGAAGGCGGGCUGCUGGGCAGUUUCGGACACUGAGGCGCGGAAGGGUGGGGGGCAAAAAGGGUUAGAUACCCUGGUGGUCCCCGCCGUAAACGAUGGGUACUAGGGGCCUGGGGGAGCGACCCUCUGGGUGCCGGCGCUAACGCAGGAAGUACCCCGCCUGGGGAGUACGACCGCAAGGUUGAAACUCAAAUGAAUUGACGG